Molecule: long non-coding RNA, 853 nt
Organism: Varanus komodoensis (Komodo dragon)
Lineage: Eukaryota; Metazoa; Chordata; Lepidosauria; Squamata; Varanidae
Exons: 3
Source: RefSeq, a predicted model, not a curated record
AAGCUUCAAGUUGCCGGGCAAAGCCACAACACGGGCAAGGUAAGGCAGCAGCAAGGUGUGAUCCCGGUCCAGGCAGAUCUCAAAACACGGGUAAGCAGCGCGUUCAGGAGCACUGGCAAGGCGGGGGCCACGCCCCCAGCCCAGGAAACCAGACAAACAGCAUUGGAGCUGCAGAAUGGAGCUUUUUUCCAGCACCAGCUACACAGAACCUCCUGCUUGCAGUAGCAGAGACGGCUGAGCCUUGCCCAAGACAUGGGCAUGGACAAGCCCCGGACUGAGAACCAGAAAGACCAACAGGACAGGGUGCCAGUACCUUGAGCAGAAUAACCUGGCUGGGUGCGCUGCCAGACAAGAUGCAGGAGCCGAACCGGCGCUGGGCAGUCAAGGCGACUUUGCUGGGGUAACACGGCAAGGCAGGACGCGAUGGGGAGGAGACGCAGCAAGGGCAGGAGCUGAAGCGCAGCAGAGCCCGCAGGAAGACCAGCGUUGCUGAGCUGCAGGAACUCAGGUUGUGCAAAGCAGUUCAGUCCCCUCAGAAACAAUGACUGAUCCCCAGAGGGCACCAGUCCGUGGGCAGGGACGCCCUUUGCAAAACCAGCCAACGGUUUCUGAUGCCCAUUCGAAGGUAAGGGAAAGGGCGGGUUUACCUUGGCCCGGUGGCUCUGCGGCUUUCUUCUGAUCUUCUUCGAUGCGAAAGGCCGUCAGCAGGAAACAGCCUCCUCCCAGGACCCCGACGAAGGCACAUAUGACAAAACUGUACUGCAAGCUUCGGAACUCCCAGAGGAAACCAAAGAUGCCUUACAAAUAUCUCCUUCCUUCCCUCCAUUGUAUCCUCACAACAACAACCCUGUGA